Molecule: non-coding RNA, 862 nt
Organism: Solanum lycopersicum (tomato)
Lineage: Eukaryota; Viridiplantae; Streptophyta; Magnoliopsida; Solanales; Solanaceae
Source: RefSeq, a predicted model, not a curated record
GCCUAUCCCUUUAAUAUAAGGAAACCCUAAACCUACUAAUGCCUAUAAGUAGAACAGCUUCAUUAUAUCUAUGACCUACUCUAUCUGCCAAGGAGGCACAAGAUGGGAUGUCUCAAAAAUACAUUUUCCAUGUAAGAAGCCAUGCUUGUAGUCGUUGAUGCCGGGUUGAUCCAUAAAAGACGAGGGACUUUCUGAAGAAGUUUGUUUUUGGUGCAAUCCUAUAAAAAGGAGCAGUAUUUAUAAAAGAACUUCAUGAAUGUGAUAAUCUGUGUUAGAUCAUGAGACGGGGGGAGGCAGUGGGAUGCCAUUCUUGAGGAAGAAAAAGGGUCCCAUGACAGUAGGUAGCUAAGGCAAGAUGCCUCGAUGGGUGAAUGGUUGUGUAGAAGUCAAACUGAGGGUUGCAGCAAUAUGAUCAGGGGCUGAUGAAGAGGAAUGGCCAUUAUUUCCAAAAUAGUAUAUAGAAUUGAAGGGACCAAAGUGUACAGUUCCUUUGGCAAGAGAGGAAGAAAGAAGACAGGGAUCGAGUAAUAAGAAGAGCAACAAACAAUGACGGCUGCUAAGGGAAGCCAUUGAGAAGCAGGAAUGAGUAAUGGAAAAGAGAAGAUGGGCUAUGUAGUAGCAGAGUAAUUAGUUUGUAAUGCAAAGCUCUAAAGAGGCAUGCUGUAUUUAUAGAGCAUAACAUGUUUUCCAAGGUUAUUUAGGGUUUUGUUUCUGUUGCAUUACCUUUCUUCUUUCAUUUAGCUCAAAUUCUAUACACAACUCCGGCUUUACAUGGAAACUGUACAAUCCGUUCCCUUUUCCUAUUUUCCGUGGGUGUAUGUAUGUGUCUGUUUUGAGGGGGAGAGAGAAAGAGAGUUGCUGC